This 468-nucleotide ribosomal RNA is filed under the name uncultured bacterium. RNAcentral's name for it is "partial 16S ribosomal RNA". It matches the Rfam family "Bacterial small subunit ribosomal RNA", at positions 28 to 507 of the family's 1533-position model. The record is from RNAcentral.
GACGAACGCUGGCGGCGUGCUUAACACAUGCAAGUCGAACGGAAAGGCCCUGCUUUUGUGGGGUGCGCGAGUGGCGAACGGGUGAGUAACACGUGAGUAACCUGCCCUUGACUUUGGGAUAACUUCAGGAAACUGGGGCUAAUACCGGAUAGGAGCUCCUGCUGCAUGGUGGGGGUUGGAAAGUUUCGGCGGUUGGUGAUGGACUCGCGGCUUAUCAGCUUGUUGGUGGGGUAGUGGCUUACCAAGGCUUUGACGGGUAGCCGGCCUGAGAGGGUGACCGGACACAUUGGGACUGAGAUACGGCCCAGACUCCUACGGGAGGCAGCAGUGGGGAAUAUUGCACAAUGGGCGGAAGCCUGAUGCAGCAACGCCGCGUGCGGGAUGACGGCAUUCGGGUUGUAAACCGCUUCCGCCUGUGACGAAGCGUGAGUGACGGUAAUGGGUAAAGAAGCACCGGCUAACUACGUG